This 182-nucleotide ribosomal RNA is filed under the name Flavobacterium aquidurense. RNAcentral's name for it is "partial 16S ribosomal RNA". It matches the Rfam family "Bacterial small subunit ribosomal RNA", at positions 1 to 185 of the family's 1533-position model. Lineage: Bacteria; Pseudomonadati; Bacteroidota; Flavobacteriia; Flavobacteriales; Flavobacteriaceae. The record is from RNAcentral.
ACGAUGAAGAGUUUGAUCCUGGCUCAGGAUGAACGCUAGCGGCAGGCUUAACACAUGCAAGUCGAGGGGUAUAGUUCUUCGGAACUAGAGACCGGCGCACGGGUGCGUAACGCGUAUGCAAUCUACCUUUUACAGAGGGAUAGCCCAGAGAAAUUUGGAUUAAUACCUCAUAGUAUGCAGAG